GUAAAAAAAGGAGUAAUAACUUCACGGCCGAUGAAACUCUGUUUCUUAUUGAGGAAGUUGAGAAAUAUUUCGAUAAUAUAAAAUCUAAACAAACAAAUCAAGUCACUAAUACAAAGAAGACACAGGCUUGGAAAGAAAUAACUAAUGCUAUAAAUUCAAGGGGAGGAUCCACAAGAACUGUGGAUCAAAUUAAAGAAAGGUACAGGAAGGUGUGUACUAAGGCCAAGGCAGAUAUUAUCUUAAUCAAGAAGGACCGCGCUAAGACCGGCGGUGGUCCACCACAGCCCUCACUGAAUCUCGUGUCACAGAAAGUUGUGGACUUGCACACAGAUUCGCCCAAUUUCUUUGGAAUAACCGGAGGGGUCGAGGUUGGAUUACAUCUACCAGAGGUACUACCAUACUCAGCUGAAUGUGGGAAUUCCAUAAUUGUUAACCAAGAACAAAAGAAGGCAUGUGCAGAUGAUCUUUUUAUGACAGAGGCAGCAAACGAU
This is a long non-coding RNA of Saccostrea cuccullata (small rock oyster), 491 nucleotides long. RefSeq lists it as uncharacterized. The transcript is spliced from 3 exons. The record is from RefSeq and is a predicted model, not a curated record. Lineage: Eukaryota; Metazoa; Mollusca; Bivalvia; Ostreida; Ostreidae.